CGCCUCACGGCCGCCGGGGGACCUCGUGUCCCCGGGCCCGCGCCCGCCGAAGACCCCAACACGAACACUGUCUGAAAAGUGCAGUCUGAGUCGAUUGUUACCAAUCAGUCAAAACUUUCAACAAUGGAUCUCUUGGUUCCGGCAUCGAUGAAGAACGCAGCGAAAUGCGAUAACUAAUGUGAAUUGCAGAAUUCAGUGAAUCAUCGAGUCUUUGAACGCACAUUGCGCCCCCUGGUAUUCCGGGGGGCAUGCCUGUCCGAGCGUCAUUGCUGCCCUCAAGCACGGCUUGUGUGUUGGGCCCCGUCCCCGGUACCCCCGGGGACGGGCCCGAAAGGCAGCGGCGGCACCGCGUCCGGUCCUCGAGCGUAUGGGGCUUUGUCACCCGCUCUGCAGGCCCGGCCGGCGCCAGCCGACCAACCCAACCAUUUUUUACAGGUUGACCUCGGAUCAGGUAGGGAUACCCGCUGAACUUAAGCAUAUCAAUAAGCGGAGGA
Molecule: unclassified non-coding RNA, 494 nt
Filed under: Aspergillus sp. 1 JS-2017
Lineage: Eukaryota; Fungi; Ascomycota; Eurotiomycetes; Eurotiales; Aspergillaceae
Description: sequence contains ITS1, 5.8S rRNA gene and ITS2
Rfam family: 5.8S ribosomal RNA (bases 113-266)
Source: RNAcentral